AUACUAGAUUGCUAACUUCGAUCUUUGACCUAUACAAGAGCUGUGUCCCGCCUAUUUUCCGGUUCGGCCAUGAAGACCGCCAAAACAUGGCGGCAGUGUGUGUUUGUAGUGCGUACGUGAAUAUCCGAUGCGUGUGUAGUAGUGCUGUACUGUAAGUAUGUGAUACCUGAUGUGUCUACACUGAUGUGUCGUAUCUAUUGCUAUUUAUAUUAGUAAAACUGCAAAUAUAUAAACGAGAUAAUGCCAAGUACAUGUUGCAUUGUUAAUUGCAAUAAUACGAAUAAAAAAGGAUAUCACUUAUUUAAAUUUGCAGUUUUACUAACAUAAAUAGUAAUAGACACAUCAGGUGUCACAUACGCAUUACCACGCACUACUACAUACGCAUCGGGUAUUCACAUACACACUACAAACACACACCGCCGCCAUGCUUGGCGGUCUUCAUGGCCGAA
This is a long non-coding RNA of Harpegnathos saltator (Jerdon's jumping ant), 449 nucleotides long. RefSeq lists it as uncharacterized. NCBI's taxonomy places the organism in Eukaryota, Metazoa, Arthropoda, Insecta, Hymenoptera, Formicidae. The transcript is spliced from 2 exons. The record is from RefSeq and is a predicted model, not a curated record.